CAUAACUAUAUGAAUAAGGGAAUUCCUACAGCGCUCCUUCCACGCCUGCUCACACAAUGUCAGAGACCACUUCAUCAUCAGGACACACUGAAUAUCUUCACAAGCAGUGUCUAUCUGCAUGGAACUCAGUGCAGUUCUAAUUUGUACCUUAAUUAUUAUAAACUUGAGCAUCUUUUCAUGUUUAAGAAAAAUUUUUAUCUUUUACAAUGCAAUUUCUAUGAUGGUACCAAGGCGCAGAGGGGACUAAGAAACUUGCCCACAGCUGGAGAGUUAUUAAUUGGUGGGCACGAGUCAUGCCAUCCAACUGCACCCUUACGCACAUCCGGACAGACCUAAAAACACUGAUGAUAAACUAGGGUGAGCCCUGCCAUGUUCAAGAAUAAGCAUUUGACAAUUAGACCGUCAUGAAGUGCCACUGCCAUCUAUCAAAUGAAACUGUGACGUGCGUGCCAGCACAUGUUGAACUACUUUUGAUCUAACAACCUGCCUCGAUGCUGACAAGCUUCCUGCACAAGAUUCUGUUAGCCAACAAGGUCCUGAUUGUCUACCUGCCUGUUGUUCCUUCGCGAUCUGGAGGGCUCCAAGGACAGGGGAAAUGUUGAAUUAUUCUCAUGUUUCCAACAACUGUAUAGUCUCAGAAGCAUGGAGUGAGUGACCGUUAAAUACAUCUUGCUACUAGUUUCAGGAUAAGCAAGAUGCCCCUCUGAGGAUCUCCCAGCUUCAUCAUUCCUAGGCCUGCGUCAUCAAAAGGAACUUACUACUCCUGAAAGCUGUUUAAAACACCAAAAUUCCUCCCAUCUGGGAUAUACAGAAGCAAAGCAAAGGGACAGAUAAAACCAAAACAAACCCCUGUGUUCUAACUGCAGAACUGAGGCGACCGGUGCGGGGGGAGGGGACCCCAAUGGACUAGGGUGGAGGCUUCUUGGGGCUUCUGUGGCGGCCAUGGUGUGAUGACACACAUGUAAAGAUGUGAACAUGCCUGUAUCCUAAAGUAUAUACAGUGCUGUAACCAGCAUCACCUCAGCACACAUAAUUUAACACAACACUGAAAUAGCUCACGGGAGUCCAGACUCAGGCAAGCCCAUGGUCCAGCUUCACUGCUGCUGACCAGUGACUACUCCCCAUCGCGACGCAGUGUUCUGUCUGUCGUUACAGCAAGAGGCUGCAAAAUUGAGCACCGACACUGACGUCCUGAGGGCAAGACACUGUCCCUAGGUCCCUGGCAGGGCCUGGCAAUGCUCAGAGCCACGCGGUCCAUAAAAACCAUGGUCACGACGAAGGAGCCCUCCCCGCGACGCAGAUGGGACAAGGGAGCCACGCUGGACGCAAGCGACCCUGGGCUGAGCUUGAACCUGAACUUAGCCCUUUCUGAUGCAGAAAAUAGCGUUUUUCAUUCUACAUGUUGAGGACAUUUGGAGACUCAAGCUAUCUAAGGGGUUUCCUCCUCCCCCUGUUUAGAAAGCCCAUCUCGAAGCGCUGGUGUCACUGUCUAAUAAUUUGAGCACGGUGUCGAGAAUAAAC
This is a long non-coding RNA of Talpa occidentalis (Iberian mole), 1521 nucleotides long. RefSeq lists it as uncharacterized. Lineage: Eukaryota; Metazoa; Chordata; Mammalia; Eulipotyphla; Talpidae. The record is from RefSeq and is a predicted model, not a curated record. The transcript has 3 exons.